Long non-coding RNA from Talpa occidentalis (Iberian mole), 287 nucleotides. RefSeq lists it as uncharacterized. The record is from RefSeq and is a predicted model, not a curated record. The transcript is spliced from 3 exons. Lineage: Eukaryota; Metazoa; Chordata; Mammalia; Eulipotyphla; Talpidae.
UGAACACUCCCUGUUCACUGAACUCAGCCCUUUAUCCUUCAAUUAGACGGGAGUAUGGAAUCAGGGAAGAGCUUCUCUCUGUCUUGGCCAGAAGAUGGCGCGGGGGCUCCAAGUGCUGCUCCCAGCGGCGUUAGAAGAAAAUCCUGUGGGAGAGAAAUGGAUGGGUGCGUUCCAGGACAGACAUGCGAGAUGGCGGAGACCCCGACAGCAAGUCCCCGAAAAUUCAGGAGCCUGAGGGCAGGUCAGGUGUGUCCGCUUCCCCCACAGCCCCUGGAGGGGGACUUGCA